UACAGAGGUCCCGAGCGUUGUUCGGAUUCACUGGGCGUAAAGGGUGCGUAGGUGGUGAGGAAAGUCGGAUGUGAAAUCUCCGGGCUUAACCCGGAAAUGGCAUUGGAAACUACCUUGCUAGAGGUUUUGAGGGGGGACUGGAAUUCUCGGUGUAGCAGAUGAAUGCGUAGAUAUCGAGAGGAACACCGAUGGCGAAGGCAGAUCUCUGGGCCGUAACUGACGCUGAGGAGCGAAAGCAUGGGGAGCGAACAGG
Molecule: ribosomal RNA, 253 nt
Filed under: uncultured bacterium
Lineage: Bacteria
Description: partial 16S ribosomal RNA
Rfam family: Bacterial small subunit ribosomal RNA
Source: RNAcentral